GAUGAUGCCCAGCUUGCUGGGCGGAUUAGUGGCGAACGGGUGAGUAAUACGUGAGUAACCUGCCCUUGACUCUGGGAUAAGCCUGGGAAACUGGGUCUAAUACUGGAUACUACCUCUUACCGCAUGGUGGGUGGUGGAAAGGGUUUUACUGGUUUUGGAUGGGCUCACGGCCUAUCAGCUUGUUGGUGGGGUAAUGGCUCACCAAGGCGACGACGGGUAGCCGGCCUGAGAGGGUGACCGGCCACACUGGGACUGAGACACGGCCCAGACUCCUACGGGAGGCAGCAGUGGGGAAUAUUGCACAAUGGGCGGAAGCCUGAUGCAGCGACGCCGCGUGAGGGAUGACGGCCUUCGGGUUGUAAACCUCUUUCAGUAGGGAAGAAGCGAGAGUGACGGUACCUGCAGAAGAAGCGCCGGCUAACUACGUGCCAGCAGCCGCGGUAAUACGUAGGGCGCAAGCGUUGUCCGGAAUUAUUGGGCGUAAAGAGCUCGUAGGCGGUUUGUCGCGUCUGCUGUGAAAGCCCGGGGCUCAACCCCGGGUCUGCAGUGGGUACGGGCAGACUAGAGUGCAGUAGGGGAGACUGGAAUUCCUGGUGUAGCGGUGAAAUGCGCAGAUAUCA
RNAcentral lists this ribosomal RNA (620 nucleotides) under Kocuria sp. SCULCB HNA-4. RNAcentral describes it as "bacterial SSU rRNA". It matches the Rfam family "Bacterial small subunit ribosomal RNA", at positions 68 to 699 of the family's 1533-position model. The record is from RNAcentral. Lineage: Bacteria; Bacillati; Actinomycetota; Actinomycetes; Micrococcales; Micrococcaceae.